GACGAACGCUGGCGGCGCGCCUAACACAUGCAAGUCGAACGGAGCUUAGAGAGCUUUGCUUUUUAAGCUUAGUGGCGAACGGGUGAGUAACGCGUGAGUAACCUGCCCUAGAGUGGGGGACAACAGUUGGAAACGACUGCUAAUACCGCAUAAGCCCACGGUGCCGCAUGACACUGAGGGAAAAGGAUUUAUUCGCUUUAGGAUGGACUCGCGUCCAAUUAGCUAGUUGGUGAGGUAACGGCCCACCAAGGCGACGAUUGGUAGCCGGACUGAGAGGUUGAACGGCCACAUUGGGACUGAGACACGGCCCAGACUCCUACGGGAGGCAGCAGUGGGGGAUAUUGCACAAUGGGGGAAACCCUGAUGCAGCGACGCCGCGUGGAGGAAGAAGGUUUUCGGAUUGUAAACUCCUGUCGUUAGGGACGAUAAUGACGGUACCUAACAAGAAAGCACCGGCUAACUACGUGCCAGCAGCCGCGGUAAAACGUAGGGUGCAAGCGUUGUCCGGAAUUACUGGGUGUAAAGGGAGCGCAGGCGGGAAGACAAGUUGGAAGUGAAAACCAUGGGCUCAACCCAUGAAUUGCUUUCAAAACUGUUUUCUUGAGUAGUGCAGAGGUAGAUGGAAUUCCCGGUGUAGCGGUGGAAUGCGUAGAUAUCGGGAGGAACACCAGUGGCGAAGGCGGUCUACUGGGCACCAACUGACGCUGAGGCUCGAAAGCAUGGGUAGCAAACAGGAUUAGAUACCCUGGUAGUCCAUGCCGUAAACGAUGAUUACUAGGUGUUGGGGGAUUGACCCCCUCAGUGCCGCAGUUAACACAAUAAGUAAUCCACCUGGGGAGUACGACCGCAAGGUUGAAACUCAAAGGAAUUGACGGGGGCCCGCACAAGCAGUGGAGUAUGUGGUUUAAUUCGAAGCAACGCGAAGAACCUUACCAGGUCUUGACAUCCGAUGCAUAGCACAGAGAUGUGUGAAAUCCUUCGGGACAUCGAGACAGGUGGUGCAUGGUUGUCGUCAGCUCGUGUCGUGAGAUGUUGGGUUAAGUCCCGCAACGGGCGCAACCCUUAUUGCCAGUUACUACGUUAAGAGGACUCUGGCGAGACUGCCGUUGACAAAACGGAGGAAGGUGGGGAUGACGUCAAAUCAUCAUGCCCUUUAUGACCUGGGCUACACACGUACUACAAUGGCGUUAAACAAAGAGAAGCAAGACCGCGAGGUGGAGCAAAACUCAAAAACAACGUCUCAGUUCAGAUUGCAGGCUGCAACUCGCCUGCAUGAAGUCGGAAUUGCUAGUAAUCGCGGAUCAGCAUGCCGCGGUGAAUACGUUCCCGGGCCU
RNAcentral lists this ribosomal RNA (1334 nucleotides) under uncultured bacterium. RNAcentral describes it as "bacterial SSU rRNA". It matches the Rfam family "Bacterial small subunit ribosomal RNA", at positions 28 to 1381 of the family's 1533-position model. The record is from RNAcentral.